UCUUUCCCAAUUUUUACUUAAUUAGCUUAAUUUUAUAGUUAUUUAUUCUUAUAUUUUUUAAAAAAUAUGAAUAUUUAUGCUAAUAGCAUAAAUUUUGAGAAAAAAAAAUUUAAUUUAAUAGCCGAAUUUUUUAUCCCGAAUUUUUAAUUGGUAAACGUAUAAUAUUCGUAUAAAUCACGUAUCCGAAUAAUUGAUGAAUCCGUUUUUUAGCCGUAUUUUUGAACGAAUUUAGAAAUUAGAAGACGAAUUUUAUCCGAAUUAUACCCGUACCGAAUUUUUGCCGAAUCCGAAUUAACUAACUAUGCUACAAAUAUGUUCCCAUUUU
Molecule: long non-coding RNA, 325 nt
Filed under: Ananas comosus (pineapple)
Lineage: Eukaryota; Viridiplantae; Streptophyta; Magnoliopsida; Poales; Bromeliaceae
Description: long non-coding RNA (ACOM_LNC040597)
Source: RNAcentral